This is a long non-coding RNA of Dermacentor albipictus, 1122 nucleotides long. RefSeq lists it as uncharacterized. The record is from RefSeq and is a predicted model, not a curated record. Lineage: Eukaryota; Metazoa; Arthropoda; Arachnida; Ixodida; Ixodidae.
GUGGGAACCUCUAGGGCGCCGCCCUGUUGCUACUGGUCAAUGUGGCCAGCGCAAUUACUAUUGAAAGAGCUGAGAACAAGUACAGGUCACCUUAUGCUUUGUCACCUAAAAACGCAUACCUGAUGGCUUUAUGAAGGUGGUACGUUAAUAUUAAGUUUACAGAAAGCGAUCGCUAAGUCCGUGACUUAUGUAAAUCACGAUGUACGCAUUCAUGCAAUAAAGGAUGACGCGAAUUUCGGUUUCGAAUCUGUUUUUUGGAUGCGUAGUAGUUUCGUUUGACAUGCGAUCGCGCGUCGACAUCGGACGCUAUGACACACUCGUGCCUUAUGUGCCACCGAAGCCCCGAAGUGGUCUGGCAUAUACCUUCACAUAUAUGCAAUGGCAAGCCCUUCCGUGUGUUCCAAAGACAAUGCCUACGCCUAGCCACAGCAGCUCCCUCAUACAGACUCCACAAACCAAGAGGCCGUGGAGUCAAAUGCAGGCAGCCAGCACACCUCGAACAGCCACCUUGACUGCGGGUGUGUCACCCUAGUCGCCAAGGAAACAUUUGAGGGAAAGUGACAGGCAAUGUGAACAGCCACUUCUCCAUGUAAACAAUACUCUUUCUCUCGGAUGACUCCUACGCCUCACCACUCCAGCACACUUGUGCACAAAGAUGCCGCAGAGGCACGUGCAGGUCAGAGGCAAGAAGCAGUGGCACUGGUGUCGACAUUUACCCAAUUUCUUUUUCUUGCACUGAGGCAGCCAGCACACCUCGAACAGCCACCUUGACUGCGGGUGUGUCACCCUAGUCGCCAAGGAAACAUUUGAGGGAAAGUGACAGGCAAUGUGAACAGCCACUUCUCCAUGUAAACAAUACUCUUUCUCUCGGAUGACUCCUACGCCUCACCACGCCAGCACACUUGUGCACAAAGAUGCCGCAGAGGCACGUGCAGGUCAGAGGCAAGAAGCAGUGGCACUGGUGUCGACAUUUACCCAAUUUCUUUUUCUUGCACUGAGGCAGCCAGCACACCUCGAACAGCCACCUUGACUGCGGCUGUGUCAGUAGAUUCCUGUUGUACAUAUGCUCAUAAUAAACUUCAGUAAACCUGAACUUCAUAAUAAACUUGAAGGCAAAUGGGA